Molecule: ribosomal RNA, 253 nt
Filed under: uncultured bacterium
Lineage: Bacteria
Description: partial 16S ribosomal RNA
Rfam family: Bacterial small subunit ribosomal RNA
Source: RNAcentral
GACAGAGGGUGCAAACGUUGUUCGGAAUUACUGGGCGUAAAGCGCGUGUAGGCUGCUUCGCAAGUCGGAUGUGAAAGCCCUGGGCUCAACCCAGGAAGUGCAUUCGAAACUGCAGAGCUGGAGUCCUGGAGAGGAAGGCGGAAUUCUCGGUGUAGAGGUGAAAUUCGUAGAUAUCAAGAGGAACACCGGUGGCGAAGGCGGCCUUCUGGACAGUGACUGACGCUGAGACGCGAAAGCGUGGGGAGCAAACAGG